Molecule: long non-coding RNA, 1036 nt
Filed under: Lepisosteus oculatus (spotted gar)
Lineage: Eukaryota; Metazoa; Chordata; Actinopteri; Semionotiformes; Lepisosteidae
Description: lncRNA (ENSLOCG00000021804.1)
Source: RNAcentral
CUGAGAUGAAAAGGCCGUUGUCUUUUAUCUGCCCAGAGGAUAAGCCUUGGCCAUUGCAACCGGAAUGUGACAGAUUGGAUGGACCACGAUCUCCAUCGCCAGUCUCCUCGAGGAUGAACAGGCUCCCUCUGUGCUGCUCCAGGACGACAUCCCACUCUGUGAAGAGGCGGCUCUGCAGCUGGACAGAGACCUCCAAUUAAUUCCCGUCUCCGGAGGGAAGCCUAACAGACCACAUGUGGAGAGCUGCCCUGGACACCUUCGUCUUGCAAAUUGGAACGGCAUUGAUUUUACCAGCACAGCUAAUCGAAGCCACAGAAACAACGGGGGGUUUUCUAAUGUGUCAGCACACCACGGUAAAGUAAAUCACAAGUAGAAAUAUGAAGUUUUUUACAGGGCUUCUUUAGCUCUUAGCUAACUGAGUGUAGCAUAGACUCCUACUGGGUGAGAUAUCAGCCCAUCGUUUUAUGUUAAUCUCCCACGGACGCUCAGUGGAGGAAGUCCAAAUAAUGUGCCCUGCUUUACGACACAACAGCAGGGUCCACAUCAGGGGGCUCCACCUUCUGAUCCUGGAAAGUCCAAACCUUAUCUACUGCACAACUAAAGGGUAUACAUUGUUUCUGUUAGUCCUUUAAGAAAACAUUGCAGAUUUAAAUCUGUGGUCAAUAAAUCUUUACCUGUUCAUAAAUCAGCAUGAGUGGUCUUCAUCUCGGGUCCUAAAAUCAGAAGCCGGUAGGUUUUAUGGGGAACAACAGCUUCUCAAUGGUGAAAGACAAUCUCAAUAAACAAUGAAGCCUUUGCUCAGGGUCACUGUCCAGAUUGUUGAUGCCUGUGGGUUUCAAGGCAAGGUUCCAGUGUGAGGCCCUGUUCUUCACAAUGAACAGCGAGACGCGAAACAGAGAGCACAAAGGGAAAACUACGUGGAAGUGCAUUUAAAACUCAGAACGGGAGGCUCUUCUUUCCAAAGAGGGAUGUGGGUGUGUGGAACAAACUUCCCUCCCUGUUGUGAAAGCCAGUAUCCUGGCGUCUUUCAGCAAAC